GAUCCUGGCUCAGGAUGAACGCUAGCGACAGGCUUAACACAUGCAAGUCGAGGGGCAGCAUGAACUUAGCUUGCUAAGUUUGAUGGCGACCGGCGCACGGGUGAGUAACGCGUAUCCAACCUGCCCACCACUUGGGGAUAACCUUGCGAAAGUAAGACUAAUACCCAAUGAUAUCUCUAGAAGACAUCUGAAAGAGAUUAAAGAUUCAUCGGUGAUGGAUGGGGAUGCG
This 229-nucleotide ribosomal RNA is filed under the name uncultured bacterium. RNAcentral's name for it is "partial 16S ribosomal RNA". It matches the Rfam family "Bacterial small subunit ribosomal RNA", at positions 15 to 235 of the family's 1533-position model. The record is from RNAcentral.